CGUGCUUAACACAUGCAAGUCGAACGGUAACAGGGACUUCGGUCCGCUGACGAGUGGCGCACGGGUGAGUAACGCGUGGGUAUCUGCCUAUUAGUGGGGGACAACUUGGAGAAAUCCAAGCUAAUACCGCAUAAUCUCUACGGAGGAAAGCGGGGGAUCUUCGGACCUCGCGCUGAUAGAUGGGCCCGCGUCUGAUUAGCUAGUUGGUAAGGUAAUGGCUUACCAAGGCGAUGAUCAGUAACUGGUUUGAGAGGAUGAUCAGUCACACUGGAACUGAGACACGGUCCAGACUCCUACGGGAGGCAGCAGUGGGGAAUAUUGCACAAUGGGCGCAAGCCUGAUGCAGCGACGCCGCGUGCGGGAAGAAGGCCUUAGGGUUGUAAACCGCUUUCAGAUGGGAAGAAGGGAUGAGAGUUAAUAGCUCUCUGACUUGACGGUACCAUCAGAAGAAGCACCGGCUAAUUUCGUGCCAGCAGCCGCGGUAAUACGAAAGGUGCAAGCGUUGUUCGGAUUUACUGGGCGUAAAGCGAGUGUAGGUUGUUUAUUAAGUCGGAUGUGAAAUCCCGGGGCUCAACCCCGGAACUGCAUUCGAUACUGAUAGGCUAGAGUUCGGGAGGGGUAAGCGGAAUUCCGUGUGUAGCAGUGAAAUGCGUAGAUAUACGGAGGAACACCUGAGGCGAAGGCGGCUUACUGGACCGAUACUGACACUGAGACUCGAAAGCGUGGGUAGCAAACAGGAUUAGAUACCCUGGUAGUCCACGCCCUAAACGAUGUCAACUAGCCGUAGCGGGUAUCGACCCCUGCUGUGGCGAAGCUAACGCGAUAAGUUGACCGCCUGGGGAGUACGGUCGCAAGAUUAAAACUCAAAGGAAUUGACGGGGGCCCGCACAAGCGGUGGAGCAUGUGGUUUAAUUCGACGCAACGCGAAGAA
RNAcentral lists this ribosomal RNA (931 nucleotides) under uncultured bacterium. Its description in RNAcentral is "bacterial SSU rRNA". It matches the Rfam family "Bacterial small subunit ribosomal RNA", at positions 43 to 968 of the family's 1533-position model. The record is from RNAcentral.